Molecule: long non-coding RNA, 476 nt
Organism: Equus asinus (donkey)
Lineage: Eukaryota; Metazoa; Chordata; Mammalia; Perissodactyla; Equidae
Source: Ensembl
CCGAGCUCCCACGCCCCCUCCCCGGCCCAGGGACCUCGAGGGAGUGGGAACCCCAGGAGACGCCGAGGAGCAGGUGGCGGCGUGGGGAGGAAGACGCUGGGGCCCGCGGCGCGGCGAGAGGGGCCGGGGGCCCGCUCUCCUGCAGCCCGCCACUCUGGAGUCCUCGCGCCCACAACCGGGCCGCCGAGACGAGUGGCGCGCGGGAGAACGAGGGAACCGGUUCUCCAGCACCUCGCCUCCUCUCUGCUACUCCCUCCGGGGCGCCGAAAGGGCGAGAGAAGCGCGGGGGCCCCGGGGCGGCCUCGGGACCGACGUCCCCCUCUGCGGCCGGUGCUCGGACGCUGCGCUCGCCUUCCUCGCCCGGCUCUGGGCCGCGUUUGCGGACCAAGCCCCCGAGUUAGCUCGCGACCGGGGCGGGGCGCGCGGCGGGGCGGGCGGGCGGGGAGGGCGGGGUGCAGGGGGCGGGGGAGGGCGGG